This 68-nucleotide transfer RNA is filed under the name Megamonas hypermegale. It matches the Rfam family "tRNA". From Rfam's summary of the family: Transfer RNA (tRNA) molecules are approximately 80 nucleotides in length. Lineage: Bacteria; Bacillati; Bacillota; Negativicutes; Selenomonadales; Selenomonadaceae. The record is from RNAcentral.
CCUAUAGCUCAGCUGGAUAGAGCACACGCCUUCUAAGCGUGCGGUCGCAGGUUCGAAUCCUGCUGGGC